RNAcentral lists this ribosomal RNA (496 nucleotides) under uncultured bacterium. RNAcentral describes it as "partial 16S ribosomal RNA". It matches the Rfam family "Bacterial small subunit ribosomal RNA", at positions 28 to 507 of the family's 1533-position model. The record is from RNAcentral.
GACGAACGCUGGCGGCGUGCCUAACACAUGCAAGUCGAGCGCUGACGCCUGGUGCUUGUACUCACUGGGUGAGCAGCGAACGGGUGAGUAACGCGUGGGGCAUCUGCUUCUGUUUGGGGGACAACAUCUGAAAACGAAUGCUAAUACUGCAUAAUAACUUUAAACACUGGUUUCAAGGGUGAAACAGGCCUUUGCAUCAUUCAAAGAUGAUUCGGCGUUUUAUUAGUUAGUUGGUGAGGUAACGGCCAACCAAGGCGAGGAUACGUAGCCGCCCUGAGAGGAGGUCGGCCAAAAUGGGACUGGGAAACGGCCCAAGCUCCUUCGGGGAGGAGCAGGAGGGGAAUGUCGGAAAAGGGCGGAAAGCUGACCGAACCAAGCCGGGGGGGUGGAGGAAGGUUUCGGGUCGGAAAACUCUGUUUGUAGGGAAGAAAGUGCGGGAGAGUGGAAAGCUCAUCAAGUGACGGUAACUAAACAGAAAGCGACGGCUAACUACGUG